This 450-nucleotide ribosomal RNA is filed under the name uncultured bacterium. RNAcentral's name for it is "partial 16S ribosomal RNA". It matches the Rfam family "Bacterial small subunit ribosomal RNA", at positions 354 to 796 of the family's 1533-position model. The record is from RNAcentral.
GUGGGGAAUUUUGGACAAUGGGCGCAAGCCUGAUCCAGCAAUGCCGCGUGCAGGAAGAAGGCCUUCGGGUUGUAAACUGCUUUUGUACGGAACGAAACGGUCCUGGUUAAUACCCGGGGCUAAUGACGGUACCGUAAGAAUAAGCACCGGCUAACUACGUGCCAGCAGCCGCGGUAAUACGUAGGGUGCAAGCGUUAAUCGGAAUUACUGGGCGUAAAGCGUGCGCAGGCGGUGCUGUAAGACAGGCGUGAAAUCCCCGGGCUUAACCUGGGAAUUGCGCUUGUGACUGCAGUGCUGGAGUGCGGCAGAGGGGGAUGGAAUUCCGCGUGUAGCAGUGAAAUGCGUAGAUAUGCGGAGGAACACCGAUGGCGAAGGCAGCCCCCUGGGAUAAUACUGACGCUCAUGCACUAAAGCGUGGGUAGCAAACAGGAUUAGAUACCAUUGUAGUCC